This 27-nucleotide small RNA is filed under the name Bombyx mori (domestic silkworm). Its description in RNAcentral is "piRNA piR-bmo-2089969". The record is from RNAcentral. Lineage: Eukaryota; Metazoa; Arthropoda; Insecta; Lepidoptera; Bombycidae.
UAAGUUGUUUGUAGUGAUAGAGAGAGA